This 72-nucleotide transfer RNA is filed under the name Xanthocytophaga flava. Its description in RNAcentral is "tRNA-OTHER". It matches the Rfam family "tRNA". From Rfam's summary of the family: Transfer RNA (tRNA) molecules are approximately 80 nucleotides in length. Their secondary structure includes four short double-helical elements and three loops (D, anti-codon, and T loops). The record is from RNAcentral. Lineage: Bacteria; Pseudomonadati; Bacteroidota; Cytophagia; Cytophagales; Rhodocytophagaceae.
GAAACUGUAGUUCAAAUGGAAGAGCAUUGCUACCCGUGGCAAAGGUUGGAGGUUCGAAUCCUCUCAGUUUCG